RNAcentral lists this unclassified non-coding RNA (692 nucleotides) under Hevea brasiliensis (rubber tree). The record is from RNAcentral. Lineage: Eukaryota; Viridiplantae; Streptophyta; Magnoliopsida; Malpighiales; Euphorbiaceae.
GUACAGAGAGAAGAAACGCCUGUGGAUUUGAAGGAGUUAGAAAGGAAUUGUUGAAAGGAUAAAGAUGAAGAUGAAGAGAGAAAGAAAGAGGGAGGUGGGGUUGAUUGAUUCAGAAUCAAAACUCUCUCUCUUUCUUUCUCUCUGUUCGUCCCUCCAGUCAGCAGCGGAGCUCUCCCUCGUCGAACCCGACACCCCUAUCGCACGCUCUCUCUUUGGUAGUCUGACCACCUGCGAAUCUAGAGUCUCUCCCACUUCACCCGAACAACCCACCAUCCCUUCCUUCCCAUCUCUUCUCACUAAGUCCCGAUUCGCCAUCUCUAUUCUACAUGUAAUACUAAUAACAGUAAUAUCAUCUUUGAUUGUUGUUUGGAAUCAUUAGAGACAAGGAGAGAGUGGAAGGACAGGAUGUGCUUAUGGCUGUCUCAAAGAACAAAGAAGACAGUGCCGAGAGGCAUCAAAGUAAUAUUACUUUCCCUUUGAAUGGUGCAGUAUGCAGAAUUGAAGCCAGUACCAUGCCUUACUAUGGUGCUCAAGUGUUAAGGAAAACAAGUGCCACUCCACCUCCACAGUUUAUGAUUUUCUACUACAAGAUCUCAUAACUAAAUGUUUAAUUAAAUAUAUUUGUAGCCCAAGAGAUAUUUUAACUAGAUUUUCAAUUAAAUGCAUUUAUGUGAAUAUUCGUGUGACAUAAU